RNAcentral lists this transfer RNA (81 nucleotides) under Paractinoplanes rishiriensis. RNAcentral's name for it is "Actinoplanes rishiriensis tRNA-Gln". Lineage: Bacteria; Bacillati; Actinomycetota; Actinomycetes; Micromonosporales; Micromonosporaceae. The record is from RNAcentral.
GUUCGACAUGGCCCUCGUGGCGCCGGCGCUGGACCGGCUGGGUGUCGACACCCGGGCCGCGUUCGACGCGCUGGCCGGGCA